GCAUCCAUGCUGUCGGCUAGUGUAAACACAGGUCGCACACGUGAUAUGACAGCAUUUUUGUGUCGCGGAAAGUGACGUUGCGGAGCUUAAAACUCCGGUUUUGUCUGUCCACACGCAGACACCCAAAAUGGAGAAAAUGCAGAUCUUCACUUUGGCCGGAGUUUUUAAAAAGCUCAGUUUUUGUGUGAAAAAACUCUGUUUUCGUGUGGAUGACAGGCCAAAACGUAGAAAAAUAUCUAUGUUUUGGCAGAUCCCCGGCUACAUGUGGACAGGGCCUUAAUCAUCCUUAAAGGAGACCUGGUAUUCUUCAGUUUUGUGUUACAGGUGGGCGUGUCAGUGAGCUCCAGCUGAUCCUGAUCUCGCUAAUCAGAGGGCCAGGGGAUAUAAGGAGCGGUGUGACACAACUCCAGUGCCGGUCGAUACUCUCACCAAGGGCAGCUUUCAGCCUAGUCUAGAUUUCUGUAUUCCUGCAAAAUGCUCCUGUAAGAUCCUGUUGUUCUUGUCUCCACUUACCUCACCUUGAAUCACCCACCUACGCCUGGAGUUGUACUCGAGGUCACGUUGUUCAGGAUCCUCUGGCCUCCGCUCACCACCGCCUGCCUGUCUUCCAACCUACAUCUUGGACACCUACUACCGUCUCCUGUUCAGCUCCACCUCAUCCAUCGGUUCCGCCGCCUCUUCACUACUAGACCUGACCCAGUUCACCAUCACCGAACCCUGGUCUCUGACCAUACCGGUUCCUUCCUGUUCCCGUUUUGGAGCAGCACCUUUAGUUCUCCCUUUUCAUCAUUUAAAUAAACAAUUGUAUCAUUUUUAUCAUUUUUA
Molecule: long non-coding RNA, 825 nt
Organism: Nothobranchius furzeri (turquoise killifish)
Lineage: Eukaryota; Metazoa; Chordata; Actinopteri; Cyprinodontiformes; Nothobranchiidae
Source: RefSeq, a predicted model, not a curated record